UAGGGAAUAUUGCGCAAUGGGGGAAACCCUGACGCAGCGACGCCGCGUGAGUGAUGAAGGCCUUCGGGUUGUAAAGCUCUGUCGUAUGGGAAUAAGAUCUGAAUGUACCAUGCAAGAAAGGACCGGCUAACUUCGUGCCAGCAGCCGCGGUAAGACGAGGGGUCCUAGCGUUGUUCGGAAUCAUUGGGCGUAAAGCGGGUGCAGGUGGCUUAACAAGUCAGGUGUGAAAUCCCUUGGCUUAACCUUGGAAGUGCAUUUGAUACUGUUGAGCUUGAGUGUUCGAGAGGAUAGCGGAAUUCCUGGUGUAGUGGUGAAAUACGUAGAUAUCAGGAGGAACACCGGUGGCGAAGGCGGCUAUCUGGCGAAACACUGACACUCAGACCCGAAAGCGUGGGGAGCAAACAGG
This 406-nucleotide ribosomal RNA is filed under the name uncultured bacterium. RNAcentral describes it as "bacterial SSU rRNA". It matches the Rfam family "Bacterial small subunit ribosomal RNA", at positions 355 to 776 of the family's 1533-position model. The record is from RNAcentral.